GACGAACGCUGGCGGCGUGCUUAACACAUGCAAGUCGAACGAUGACGACCGAGCUUGCUCGGUCUGAUUAGUGGCGAACGGGUGAGUAACACGUGAGCAACCUGCCCUUCACUCUGGGAUAACCUCGGGAAAUCGGGGCUAAUACCGGAUAUGAGCUCCUGUCGCAUGGCGGGUGUUGGAAAGUUUUUCGGUGAAGGAUGGGCUCGCGGCCUAUCAGUUUGUUGGUGAGGUAGUGGCUCACCAAGGCGAUGUCGGGUAGCCGGCCUGAGAGGGCGACCGGCCACACUGGGACUGAGACACGGCCCAGACUCCUACGGGAGGCAGCAGGGGGGAAUAUUGCACAAUGGGCGAAAGCCUGAUGCAGCGACGCCGCGUGAGGGAUGACGGCCUUCGGGUUGUAAACCUCUUUCAGCAGGGAAGAAGCGAAAGUGACGGUACCUGCAGAAGAAGCGCCGGCUAACUACGUG
This 467-nucleotide ribosomal RNA is filed under the name uncultured bacterium. RNAcentral describes it as "partial 16S ribosomal RNA". It matches the Rfam family "Bacterial small subunit ribosomal RNA", at positions 28 to 507 of the family's 1533-position model. The record is from RNAcentral.